CGGAGGGUGCAAACGUUGCUCGGAAUCAUUGGGCGUAAAGCGCACGUAGGCGGCGAAGCAAGUUGGGUGUGAAAGCCCUGGGCUCAACCCAGGAAGUGCAUUCAAAACUGCUUCGCUUGAAUCUCGGAGGGGGUCAGAGAAUUCCCGGUGUAGAGGUGAAAUUCGUAGAUAUCGGGAGGAAUACCAGUGGCGAAGGCGCUGACCUGGACGAAGAUUGACGCUGAGGUGCGAAAGCGCGGGGGAGCAAACAGGAUU
This 255-nucleotide ribosomal RNA is filed under the name uncultured bacterium. RNAcentral's name for it is "partial 16S ribosomal RNA". It matches the Rfam family "Bacterial small subunit ribosomal RNA", at positions 526 to 779 of the family's 1533-position model. The record is from RNAcentral.